CUACGGGAGGCUCCAGUGGGGAAUAUUGCACAAUGGAGGAAACUCUGAUGCAGCAACGCCGCGUGGAGGAUGACACUUUUCGGAGCGUAAACUCCUUUUAUAUAGGAAGAAGAUGACGGUACUAUAUGAAUAAGCGCCGGCUAACUCCGUGCCAGCAGCCGCGGUAAUACGGAGGGCGCAAGCGUUACUCGGAAUCACUGGGCGUAAAGAGCGUGUAGGCGGAUUAAAAAGUCAGAAGUGAAAUCCUAUAGCUUAACUAUAGAACUGCUUCUGAAACUCUUAAUCUAGAAUAUGGGAGAGGUAGAUGGAAUUUCUGGUGUAGGGGUAAAAUCCGUAGAGAUCAGAAGGAAUACCGAUUGCGAAGGCGAUCUACUAGAACAUUAUUGACGCUGAGACGCGAAAGCGUGGGGAUCAAACAGGAUUAGAUACCCCCGUAGUC
This 439-nucleotide ribosomal RNA is filed under the name uncultured bacterium. Its description in RNAcentral is "partial 16S ribosomal RNA". It matches the Rfam family "Bacterial small subunit ribosomal RNA", at positions 339 to 795 of the family's 1533-position model. The record is from RNAcentral.